AUGAGGAGCACUUGGGAACCAAUCACACAGGAUCAGGAUAUGGAGCAGGAGACAAGAAGCGCCCGUCCACAGGGGCAUCGCAGUGAACAGCCUGGCCCGCUCCAAGUACUGCUGACGCCCAAUCAGGAGGGGGAAGAGGUCCGGCCAGCCUACCAGGAUGCAGCCCUGGGCCCUGGCCAGCCCCCUCUCUCCUACAGACCCUCCCCCAACCUCACCCCUCUCCACUCAUCCCUCCAACCCCCUCCCACCAACAACCCCGCAGCACAGGUUGAGGAGGGGAGAGACAGCCUUUUUAGCGGGGGAGAGGAGAGAGAACGGGUCAGGAGGGAGGAGGAUGUGGGGAUGAGUGAGAUGGGGGGACAGGGACUGAGGAAAGUUGAGGAAGGGGAGCGGUUGAGGAGGGGUGAGGAAAGACAGGGGGUGAGGCUGGAGGAGUUGUUACAGGUUGGGGGUGUGUGUGUGAGACCUCUAGGCAGACACCUGGCCAUCUCUCUUCCCUCUUUACCUCUCAGACUCUGGGAUAUAUCAGACACACACACUACCCCCUCACACACACAUUCACCCGCUGACCCCCAACACACACCACCCCCACCCCCACAUUCAAACACUGACUCCCCACACAUGUAUACAGACCCUGAGCCCCCACACAAACAGUCUGACCCUCCGCCCACCCCCCCCUGCAGUCAGCCCCACCCCUCCCCGCCCACCGCCUCUUCUGAUUGGCCCAAUCAAGUUUCCACCUUCAACACCAACACAAGUCAUUGGUCCUCCUGGAGCUUGGACCGCCCAGAUGCCGUGGUUACGCCAUAUGACACACCUCCAGAUCGCUGCCUCCCUAAUAAGGCACACCUCUCCCACAGAAAAUACAACUCCCAGCCUGCCCCUGCACAGCAUGAACCCUGUGACCCUGAGGAGGCAGAGUUAUCAGAGCUGGACUUCCUGUACCGGGCCAGUCUCCAGGCAGGAAGUAGAGGUGGCAGCCCGGCCGGGAGGCUGCAGUGUAGGGUAAGAGGGCCAGCCCGCUCCUUCACUCCCAACACCAGCAUGGAGGGGAGUGUGUACCAGACUGACAGCAGCAGUACAAUGGUCCGCAGUCUGAGCGGCACAGUCAUCAACCCGCGUCGCCACCGUCUCACCGCAGCACGCAGCUUUGUGAAGCAGACAGAUGUCAGUGCCUCUGCUUACUUACCUAAUCUCCUCUGAGACCCUGUAUUGUUACACCAUCAUCAUCUUCGUCAUCACCAUCUUCAUCGAGAUGCCCAAUGGCACGGGGAGUUUCUGGUGUCUGACGGGGGUGAAGCUGACUUCAGACCACUUAAGACAGUGGUCUUCAGACCACUGACGUGCCUCCAUAUGCAUCUACGCUACAGGCACCUCCCAGGGCAGCUUGCUGGGGUCCUUACCCUCUACACCGCUACAGGAAACUCGUAGGGCAGCUCUCCGGGGUCCUAACACGCCACACCGCUACAAGCACAUCCCACAUUGGACCUCUAGGGUCCUAACCCUCCACAGUUCUACCGGCACCUCCCAGGGCAGCUCUAUGGGGUCCUUACCCUCCACACCACUACGGGGACCUCCCAGGGCAUCCUUCUAGGGUCCUAACCCUCCACAGUUCUACAGGCACCCCCCAGGGCAGCUCUAUGGGGUCCUUACCCUCCACACCGCUACGGGGACCUCCCAGGGCAGCCUUCUAGGGUCCUAACCCUCCACAGUUCUACAGGCACCUCCCAGGGCAGCUCUAUGGGGUCCUUACUCUCCACACAGCUACAGGGACCUCCCAGGGCAGCUCUUUGGAGUCCUAAUAGUCCACACCACUAAAGGCACCUCCCAGGACAGCUAUUUGCAGGUUCUCACCCUCGACACCGCUAAAGGCAUCUCCCAGGGCAGACAUCCGGGGUCCUAACUCUCCACACUGCUACAGGCAUCUUCCAAAGCAGCCCUGCACCUCACCCAUCGCCACGAUAGGGGGUUGGUCUAGGACCCCCCCCAACCCCAAACACACACCUCUCCCCACAUCCGUCCCUCAGUGGUCUACUAACCUCCCUCUACCCCCAUCUCACACCCUCCGCCCUUCUUCAACUAUUCAGUCUAUGCAGUCAUUCUUAGUCCCCCUCAGCAGGAAUUACUCUGAAACCCAAAACAACAAACUCACCUAAUUACACUUCUAGCUAGCUAGCUUGCGACCUGCUAGCCUGUUAGCCUCCUAAUAUAGUCCGACUCUGAACAUUAUCCUGCUAGCCUUCCCCUCUUUGGGUCUAUAAAGGAGGGAGUAGAUUAGCUAGCCUGGUUUAGCCUAUGAUCUCCCUGCUUUAUCUGCCCCAAUCAGAGGGGCUCUGGAACCUUUAGGUGACUGAAAGAUCCACAGGGGGAGGGGGUUACCGAUAAGCCACGGCUUCUUCCUUUUUCUUUAUGGGCAUUUCCUGUCUGAUGACAGCACAGCACACCUGGAUAUGUUGUUUCCAAGGGAACCCCAGGACUAGUGCGUACGUGCCUACAUAGCUACGUAUAGACUGAACUCUAAUAAUAACUAAAGUCAUGUACAGAAAAACGAUAUAUGAAACCUGUAUGUUAUUAAGACCUUAUGGAAUGUUCAUACUAAUAAUGAUAAUAAUGAAGAUAUUGAUACUUUAGUGGUGACUCCUGGUCCUGGAUUGAGUGACCUUCACAAGUGUCCAGCUGGAGGUCACCUGACUGACCGUUGUAAUGGCUAACGCUGCUCUCCCAUUUCUAUCGGGAGAAACUACCUUCCUUUUUUUUUUUUUUUUUACAGAUAACGGUAGCUAAAUGGAACAAACUUUUGCACACCUGAUGUAACGUGAGAGAGAGAGAGAGAGAGAGAGAGAGAGAGAGAGAGAGAGCUUUGAUAGAGCGAGGUUAAGGGAACUAAAUUGUAAUUUGGGAAGUAUGUUUGCUCAAGGGUACUUAGGAAAGUGUACUAGCUGAACGGUACUUGCUGAAGUGUACUUGAUGAAGUGUACUUGAUGAAGGGUAAAUGUAAUCUAAUUUAUUUGAGGCCUCAGGUUAACAUGAUUGGUUCUUAGUUACUGAGAUUCUCUAUCUUCUUCUGGACCUUUCAGUUCAGCUCUGACCCUGAUGUUACUCAGAUAUGAAUGGUGAAACACUACAUUAUAAAUAUACUUCAUAUAUAUAUAUAUAUAUAUAUAUGUACUGUAGGUAUUAGAGAUAUAUUUUAAGGCCAUGCAAUGAUAUAUUUGUAUCAUGGCAAUGUCUCUCAUCCUCCAGUUAUAACAGGGUUAUUUCUCUGACUUACCCCUAACUGAAUAACACUGACAUGUCUUGAAAAUGUUAUGAUAUCAUUUAACCUGCUGAACAUGUUAUGACAUAUGUACAUAUAAUAUGUAUGUAUAUACAUAAUAAGUACAUACAUGUAAUACAUUAUAACUAAUCCCUAUUUGGAGACCAAUGGCCAGUGCAGAGCGAGAUCUAGACAGAACUGAUAAAUGAUUGUUGUAUCUAAACCAAAGGUUGGCACUUAGACAAAGACACAGCUCUCUCUGUCUGUCUUUAACAUUGUGAUUUAAAAAAAAAAAAUGUAUUUAUUAAUUUGAUUAUUUUGUUGCUGUUGUUUGUGUUGUGGAUGUUGGAGAAUGUAGCCAACUGUAGCGCAUGAGUCUGCUAUGCAAAUCAACCUUCCCUCCUGACCCUUGACCUCUGACCUGACAGAUAGGAUGCAGGAAGUGGACACGCCCACGAACGGACGCUUUAUUUACGAAUUUAAGUCAAGAAGAUACGUGAUUAAAUGCUGCUGUUGAACUCUGUACUAAGUCAUAGGCUCGAUCCCAAAUGGCACCCGUCUCCCUAUGUACUACACACUACUUUUGGCCAGAGCCCUACAUAGGGAAUAGGGUGUGAUUUCCGAUUCGCACCAUAUACAUACAUAGUACUGAAGUGGUUCACUAUGUAGUAAGAAGGGAUAAUGUAUACCAGGGGUAUUCAACUCUUACCCUACGAGGUCCGGAGCCUGCUGGUUUUCUGUUCUAACUGAUAAUGAAUUGCACACACCUGGUGUCCCAGGUCUAAAUCAGUCUCUGAUUAGAGGGGAACAAUGAAAAGAAACACAGUUGAACUGGCUUCUAGGUCCAGAGUUGAGUUUGAGGGCUGUAUACUAUGCUAGGAACAGUCAAUGGAAAUUCAAUGCAAAGAGAGAGUGGAAGAAAGAGCGUGAUGACGAAUGAAAGAGAGUACGUAGAGAGGAGAUAAAAUGAUGUACUGUAUGUGUGUGAAAUGGAGAUGAUGUGAGGAUGAAAGAGGGCUAGGAGUCGUUUUUAGAGAGCGAGUUGUAUGUGUUUGUGUGCAUGUAGGGUGUUUGUGUGUGUUGGUACUGGGUAUCAUUGCUUGGCGAACGAGGGAAAGAGCGAUCCUGUAUUUUUGCAAUAAAGUUAUUACCACUGCUCUCUUAAUGGGGCGUAACCACUCAUCUGACUCUGUCUUCUCAU
RNAcentral lists this long non-coding RNA (4457 nucleotides) under Salmo trutta (river trout). RNAcentral's name for it is "lncRNA (ENSSTUG00000039611.1)". The record is from RNAcentral. Lineage: Eukaryota; Metazoa; Chordata; Actinopteri; Salmoniformes; Salmonidae.